Molecule: non-coding RNA, 238 nt
Filed under: Schnuerera ultunensis
Lineage: Bacteria; Bacillati; Bacillota; Tissierellia; Tissierellales; Tepidimicrobiaceae
Also listed under: 1 other name
Description: Clostridium ultunense T-box sequence
Rfam family: T-box leader
About the family: Uncharged tRNA acts as the effector for transcription antitermination of genes in the T-box leader family.
Source: RNAcentral
AAAAAAGCAUUGAUGGAGAAAAAGAUAUCCUAACUUAAUUACAGAGAGUUGGAUUAGGUGAAAACCAACAUUAAGGGGAUAUGUAAUAUUCACUCCUGAGCUGAUUCGUUAAAAGUCUAAUCGAGUAGACGAAUCCGAAAGCCCAUCGUUACAGGGGAUAGGACUGUUAGGUCUGAAUGAGCGAUGACUUUUGUCAUAAUAAGGGUGGUACCGCGGAUAAUAAUCUUUCGUCCCUAUA